ACUCAAAUGAAUUGACGGGGGUCCGCACAAGCAGCGGAGCGUGUGGUUUAAUUCGAGGUUACACGAAGAACCUUACCUGGGUUAGACAUCACGGUGGUAGUGAGAUGAAAGUCGAGCGACCUUCGGGAGCCGUGACAGGUGCUGCAUGGCUGUCGUCAGCUCGUGUCGUGAGAUGUUCGGUUAAGUCCGCAAACGAGCGCAACCCCUGCUGCCAGUUACAGGUGUCUGGCGGGACUGCCCGUGAGAAACGGGAGGAAGGUGGGGAUGACGUCAAGUCAGCAUGGCCUUUAUAUCCAGGGCGACACACACGCUACAAUGGGUGGUACAAUGGGUAGCGACGCCGCGAGGCGUAGCCAAUCCCCAAAGCCAUUCCCAGUUCGGAUUGCAGGCUGCAACCCGCCUGCAUGAAGUCGGAGUUGCUAGUAACCGCGCGUCAGCCAUAGUGCGGUGAAUACGUUCCCGGGCCUUGUACACACCGCCCGU
RNAcentral lists this ribosomal RNA (483 nucleotides) under uncultured bacterium. Its description in RNAcentral is "partial 16S ribosomal RNA". It matches the Rfam family "Bacterial small subunit ribosomal RNA", at positions 899 to 1397 of the family's 1533-position model. The record is from RNAcentral.